CAGAGACUGCGAGCGUUAUUCGGAUUCACUGGGCGUAAAGGGUGCGCAGGCGGCCAUGUGUGUUGGGCGUGAAAGCCCGGGGCUUAACCCCGGAAUUGCACCCAAAACUACAUGGCUAGAGCAUUGGAGAGGGUAGCAGAAUUCAUGGUGUAGCAGUGAAAUGCGUAGAUAUCAUGAGGAAUACCAGAGGCGAAGGCGGCUACCUGGACAAUUGCUGACGCUCAGGCACGAAAGCGUGGGGAGCAAAAGGGAUUAGAUACCCCUGUAGUCCACGCCCUAAACGGUGCACACUAGGUCUUGGCGGAUUCGACCCCCCCAGGGCCCCAGCUAACGCGUUAAGUGUGCCGCCUGAGGACUACGGCCGCAAGGCUA
Molecule: ribosomal RNA, 372 nt
Filed under: uncultured organism
Description: bacterial SSU rRNA
Rfam family: Bacterial small subunit ribosomal RNA
Source: RNAcentral